GUACCAUUUUCCUAAGCAAAGCAAAUUGAAACUGAAUAUUUGUUCGGAAAAAUCAAUCAGAAUUGGAGAAAUAACAUUCUUUUAAUUUGUUGAACUGCAUUUUCAUCACUUAAUUAGUAUUAACAUUAUAUACAAACAAUUCAAAGUUGUCAGGUUAAAAACUAGGUAUAUGGCUCCGAAAGACAGCGGAAUAGUUUCAAAUUUUUAAAUAUUUCUUGAUUUGGCACUUGAAAGAAAUGUUCUUAUAUAUGUUCAAUUGAGUAUGGAACCAAUGAUCUAGUCGUAAUGUUUCGAUGUUUAAAAAUAUCAUUUCUGAAUUUAAUGAAAUAUGCUGUCAAUGCAUUGUCAAAAUGUUAAGGCACUUUGAGGAAUUUAAUUUGCUUCAAGCAAUGUGGAAUUUUGUUGUCAACGACAAUGUCUUGACAACUGAUCUCGCAUUACAACGAAUGGACUCACUUAGCAUCUAAACAUUGCGAUAAAAUCAUUAUUUUCCAUACUCAAGCGAAAAUUUUGGUCACUUCACCAAAAAGAGUUUGUCCGUAUUCAAAAAAGUAAAAGCAUGUUCGAUUUAUACUUUUGUCUUUGAGCCAUAUAUUUUCUUUGUAAAACAACCUGGUGUUACGCUUUCGAUUUCUCAGUCAAACUCCUGUAAAGUUUAUCGUUACCGAGUACGACGUUAGAGUUGUUUUACAAUAUUUAUUUUGAAGUAUAAACAUUUAUCUUGAAAAGACCAGGUUCUCUUAUUUCUCAAGAAUUAACUUUUUAAUGUUAAUUCGCGGGAAAACAAGUUAUUAAUGUUGUGUUUUCACUUGUGCUUAUUCACUUGUGUUAAACACAAUGUUAAUUGUUCUCUUUGUGCCAUGUUCUGUUUUCUUCUAUUGUUAUUAUUUAAAUAAGUAUGCAGUGGUUGUUCUCUUUUUAUUGGUAUUCAAUUUGUAAUUACAAUUCUUUUCAAUAAAUUGUUCAUUAAUUAUACAAGUGACUCCUUUUUAAUUAAAAAUUCAAUUCCCAUGGGAAUUGAAAAAAAAAAUAAAAAAAAUUCCCCUACCCCGGCCGGCUCCCCAAGUGCUACCUCUACUUCAAGUAGAAGUACUUCUACUAUGCAGUAAAAGUACUUCUACUUAAAGUAGAGGUAGCACUCAGAGAGCCAGCCGGGGUAGCGGGGCGAAGAGAAGACCAACCUAGCAAAUGCUAAAUAUGCAAAUGCUAAGUCGAUUAUCUCUUGAGAGCAGCCACGCGCAUACCUAGCAAAUGUAAAACAACAAGCAUUAGUAACAAAUACUCGGCAUGCAAAUUUUGAAUCCCAUGGCCGAAAUGACAAGUGCCCCCCACUGAUUCCUACCAACUGCCUGCCUCAGUCCUAAGCUGUCUGCCUCGGUCCUAAGCUGUCUGCCUUGGUCCUAAGCUACCUGCAUUCCAUUCGUAACUUCCGCUUUCCUCACCAUCACACAGACACUCACAACUGCCCAACCUGCCAUCAGCCCGAAAUGCCCACCCUUAAAACUGAAGGAAUUAAAAUUUUGGUAAAGUAUACAUAAUUAAUUUCAAUUAAUCGAAUAUUUUAGGCCAAAUGUAAACAGAUAAAUUAAAGGUUGACGAUCAGAAGAAAGACCGCUUAUACAAACAGGUGAGUUUCUUACCUGCCUCUAUACUCGAAAUCCAGAUUUUUCCUUCUAGAUGCUUUACUAGCAGACUAUAAUUUUAGUUAAAUUUUGCCGAUGUUAGGAAAUUAGUCCUUUUGUUCAGAAAAGAUAUUUUCUCUUUAAAUGAAUAAAUAUGCUCUCAAAAUUUUAAUUCCUUUAGUUUAGCCUAACCCCAUGCAUCCUAUACACACGGCGCACACUCUCGCACUCCAUACAUUUAGCUAAUAAAUUACGUUAUAAACAAAAAAGCAAAAUAAAAAGAUAAAUUACGUUAUCACUAGCUGUCCUAUAACCCACUUAGACUGAGUUUUGGAUUCUGGUUCGAAACGUAAAAUCUUAACUGAAAGGGCAUGGGCUUGAGUUUUGUUAACUGGUCCGAAGUAAAUACAAACCUUAAACUUACCUAAACCAGAGCCAAAGCCAAAGGCUCG
This is a non-coding RNA of Paramuricea clavata, 2074 nucleotides long. The record is from the annotation of a GenBank genome assembly. Lineage: Eukaryota; Metazoa; Cnidaria; Anthozoa; Malacalcyonacea; Plexauridae.